This 498-nucleotide ribosomal RNA is filed under the name uncultured bacterium. Its description in RNAcentral is "partial 16S ribosomal RNA". It matches the Rfam family "Bacterial small subunit ribosomal RNA", at positions 28 to 507 of the family's 1533-position model. The record is from RNAcentral.
GACGAACGCUGGCGGCGUGCCUAAUACAUGCAAGUCGAACGAGAGCAACCGGUGCUUGCACUGGUCAAUCUAGUGGCGAACGGGUGAGUAACACGUGGGUAACCUGCCCAUCAGAGGGGGAUAACAUCCGGAAACGGAUGCUAAAACCGCAUAGGUCUUCGAACCGCAUGGUUUGAAGAGGAAAAGAGGCGCAAGCUUCUGCUGAUGGAUGGACCCGCGGUGCAUUAGCUAGUUGGUGAGGUAACGGCUCACCAAGGCCGUGAUGCAUAGCCGACCUGAGAGGGUGAUCGGCCACAUUGGGACUGAGACACGGCCCAAACUCCUACGGGAGGCAGCAGUAGGGAAUCUUCCGCAAUGGACGCAAGUCUGACGGAGCAACGCCGCGUGAGUGAAGAAGGUUUUCGGAUCGUAAAACUCUGAUGUUAGAGAAGAGCAAGUGCUAGAGUAACUGUUAGCGCCUUGACGGUAUCUAACCAGAAAGCCACGGCUAACUACGUG